AACUUAAUAGUUUAAAAAAAAACAUUUAGCUGCAAGCUAAAAAAUGGUCUUUCUUAAGUUA
RNAcentral lists this transfer RNA (61 nucleotides) under Chelopistes texanus. Its description in RNAcentral is "tRNA-Cys". Lineage: Eukaryota; Metazoa; Arthropoda; Insecta; Psocodea; Philopteridae. The record is from RNAcentral.